UACGGGGGGUGCAAGCGUUGUCCGGAUUUACUGGGCGUAAAGGGCGCGUAGGCGGCUUGAUCAGUCGGACUUUUAAGAGCGGGGCUCAACCCCGUGGUGGGUUCGGGACGGUCGAGCUGGGGCGCGGUCGAGGGGGAUGGAAUGCCGGGUGUAGUGGUGAAAUGCGUAGAUAUCUGGAGGAACACCGAUGGCGAAGGCAGGUCUCUGGGCCACUACUGACGCUGAGAAGCGAAAGCAUGGGGAGCGAACAGG
This 252-nucleotide ribosomal RNA is filed under the name uncultured bacterium. RNAcentral describes it as "partial 16S ribosomal RNA". It matches the Rfam family "Bacterial small subunit ribosomal RNA", at positions 524 to 776 of the family's 1533-position model. The record is from RNAcentral.